GCCGAGGUAGCUCAGGGGUAGAGCAAAGGACUGAAAAUCCUUGUGUCGGGAGUUCAAAUCUCCCCCUCGGCACCA
Molecule: transfer RNA, 75 nt
Filed under: Parcubacteria group bacterium
Lineage: Bacteria
Description: tRNA-Phe
Rfam family: tRNA
About the family: Transfer RNA (tRNA) molecules are approximately 80 nucleotides in length.
Source: RNAcentral